CUACACCAUAACAUUUCCAUUCCAGUCAAGCAAUGUACAGACGAAGGGAAACAAUACGACAAUAAACAAACUUCUUUUAACCGUCCGCAUUUUGUGGUUUAAUGCAAAAUAAACUACACGGAUUCUUAAAGCAAACAAUCCCGCGACGUUUACAACCAACCCUGCGUGUGUAUACAACGUCUCGUCGCCGUGGAAACGCCGUUCCCGCACGUCUGACGCAAGGACGUCACGACGAUUGGUACUUUUUUUGUUUUUGCUGCCUAGCAACCGGUUUCCGUGGUAACCCUUAAAGGGGCGGCACAGUGGUUUAAUGUUGUCUGUGAGGUUUCACAGACGAGGGAAAGUGCGCUUCCAUGUUUGCAUUCUUUAGACUUUUACGAGCUCUUCAGAGGCGAGUAUUUCGGUUUUUAACAUUUAGACCACACAAAGACUUACUUUAGUUGCCAUUUAUUUUUGCAGCAAGUCCCAUUAGCCAUGUAGCCAGUGUGCUAAUCGUCCCGUUUAACUGUGCAACGUUGCAAACGAAUGGUAGCUGUCAUCGUGCUAAAACAGUAACGUUAAAUUACAGAUCUGCACUGUAUCAUAAUCAUGUUCGCACGCUCGAUUAUAGAGACAAACAUCUCGAGAAGUGUAUAAUCUGUCGGAGAGUUAGUCUGCAGUAGUCUCCUGCAGUCUUGUGAGCCAAGACAGGCUGCUAGAGAAGAAUAAAACAGUUUCACAAUCGGAAGUCGUACUUUCUUUAUCUUUUACGCUUCUGAUGCCAACUAGUUUGACUGUUUCUGUUAAGUAAUUUUGGGUUUGCAUAAAGACCAACGGCUGUGGCUAGUUUGUUGAAGUAACUUUAACUUUAUCAUGUGGUGAAUUUAGGCGUCUUUGUUUUAAAGUCGUUGAUGUUGUAUAAAACAACAACCCACCCAUAACAAACCAGUUAUAAAACUAUAAGACUAAAGAUAUAUACAAAGUCCAUUUAGUGUUUAUUGUACAGUAUUAUCUACAUGAUAACUAGGUAUCUACAAUCAACAUAAAAUAGUGAUGUCAGUUUAUUGCAAUUAAUUAGGAAAUUAAAGAAAAAAAAUCAAUUAAUCAUGCCCUUUGACCCUGUAUGUAAAUUCCAUAAUAAUACAUUAAAGCAAUUAAAGCUUGAAGCAGGUUAUGGUAAGUCACAUAAGUACAAGUAAUAAGUAUAAGGACCAUGCUUUGAAAUGACUGAUUUAAGAGAUGCAGUUUGUGCUGUGACUGGAGUUUGUGUGGUACUGGCAGAACAAUGAAUAGGAAAAUAUGUUUAUUUGCAUUUCAGUUCAAAUUGCCCAUUUUGGCUCCUGGCUUUUGGUUGUUUCAGUGCAUUCAUUUGGCUUUAUGCAAAAAUAAAGCUUUAAACCAUUUUCCUGUUUUGGCACUACUUCAGAGCCAUAUUGUUUGCUUUGGUUUGUUUGUUUUCUUGGAUUAACCCUUGCCAUCUUGCGCCAAAAAAAAGUUCCAUAAUGCUGGGGAGCGCUGUAUGUUUUGUUUACCCGACGCGUUCUGUUUUCGUCUCUCUGGUCUUUGUACAGUUUGAACUCCUGCAGCAAUCACGAGAGUGUCUUGUUUCCUGGGGAGGCGGGACAUGUUUGCCUGGUUCCCUGCCCAAAAUAUUUGUAACCAGGCAACAGCUAGGCCCAUCCCACAAUAGGUCUGUGCUGUUGACACCCCUAUUGGCACCCCCUUGCCGUUGCAUAACCUCUUUCUCUAACUUCCCAGCACCACAAAUCAAAAUUAGGAGUUUCAUAAACGUCUGCACGUUCUCAAUGUGAAGUUGAAUCGUAUUGCUUCUGUUUUAUUGUCCUGGACCUUCACUGCAUGAACUUCGUAGAGUUUACUCUUUGGGCUUGGACUGCCAUGUUUGCACAGACGCAUGGAGUUGCAAAGAGCCGGAACAUCUUCAGUUGAACUGAAAGUGACUGUCUGCUGCUGUAACCUCCAUUAACACGGGGGUUUGUUUACACAGACUUUGGCUACCCGGCAGACAUUUUAGUUGCUGAAAAAAACAAUACUUGCUUUAUAAAGGAAACUCUCAGUCGUGUCUGGAAACAUCUGGAGGGGCAGACAGCAUGAGGUCAUUGCUCUACCUCCCCUGCGCUCUCAUUGUCCGGGUUCGCCACGCGUGUACGUCUGUCUGCGCUGAAAGAAUGCGAGAGAGAAAAGCUGUGGAAUUUACAUUUUUGUAGAAAACAGAGUCUUGUGAUUGGCUCCCCUGCAUCUGCGUUCGUUUUCCUGAUAACUUGUUUAGAGAAACUGGAUUUCAACUUGCCGCUUUAACAAAUCUCAUGUGGCUGAAGGCACAAAUGGAAGAAAAACCGAGGAACAAACUCAGGAUCUAAUUUUUGAAAUAUUGGC
Long non-coding RNA from Cyprinus carpio carpio, 2373 nucleotides. The record is from Ensembl. NCBI's taxonomy places the organism in Eukaryota, Metazoa, Chordata, Actinopteri, Cypriniformes, Cyprinidae.